GGUUAAGCGACUAAGCGUACACGGUGGAUGCCCUGGCAGUCAGAGGCGAUGAAGGACGUGCUAAUCUGCGAUAAGCGUCGGUAAGGUGAUAUGAACCGUUAUAACCGGCGAUUUCCGAAUGGGGAAACCCAGUGUGUUUCGACACACUAUCAUUAACUGAAUCCAUAGGUUAAUGAGGCGAACCGGGGGAACUGAAACAUCUAAGUACCCCGAGGAAAAGAAAUCAACCGAGAUUCCCCCAGUAGCGGCGAGCGAACGGGGAGCAGCCCAGAGCCUGAAUCAGUGUGUGUGUUAGUGGAAGCGUCUGGAAAGGCGCGCGAUACAGGGUGACAGCCCCGUACACAAAAAUGCACAUGCUGUGAGCUCGAUGAGUAGGGCGGGACACGUGGUAUCCUGUCUGAAUAUGGGGGGACCAUCCUCCAAGGCUAAAUACUCCUGACUGACCGAUAGUGAACCAGUACCGUGAGGGAAAGGCGAAAAGAACCCCGGCGAGGGGAGU
RNAcentral lists this ribosomal RNA (499 nucleotides) under marine sediment metagenome. RNAcentral describes it as "LSU rRNA". It matches the Rfam family "Bacterial large subunit ribosomal RNA", at positions 1 to 539 of the family's 2925-position model. The record is from RNAcentral.